Molecule: ribosomal RNA, 442 nt
Filed under: uncultured bacterium
Lineage: Bacteria
Description: partial 16S ribosomal RNA
Rfam family: Bacterial small subunit ribosomal RNA
Source: RNAcentral
CCUACGGGUGGCAGCAGUGGGGAAUAUUGGGCAAUGGAGGCAACUCUGACCCAGCAACGCCGCGUGAGCGAUGAAGGUCUUCGGAUUGUAAAGCUCUUUAAGCGGGGACGAAGAAAGUGACUGUACCCGCAGAAUAAGCAUCGGCUAACUCCGUGCCAGCAGCCGCGGUAAUACGGAGGAUGCGAGCGUUAUCCGGAUUUAUUGGGUUUAAAGGGUGCGCAGGCGGAGGUGCAAGUCAGCGGUCAAAUUGCGGGGCUCAACCCCGUACUGCCGUUGAAACUGCAUCCCUUGAGUGCGCGAGAAGUAUGCGGAAUGCGUGGUGUAGCGGUGAAAUGCAUAGAUAUCACGCAGAACUCCGAUUGCGAAGGCAGCAUACCGGCGCGCAACUGACGCUCAUGCACGAAAGCGUGGGGAGCAAACAGGAUUAGAUACCCCAGUAGUC